RNAcentral lists this ribosomal RNA (566 nucleotides) under uncultured archaeon. RNAcentral describes it as "bacterial SSU rRNA". It matches the Rfam family "Archaeal small subunit ribosomal RNA", at positions 326 to 897 of the family's 1478-position model. The record is from RNAcentral.
CGGGGUGCAGCAGGCGCGAAAAUUUACAAUGCCGGCAACGGCGAUAAGGGAACCUCGAGUGCCAGGUUACAAAUCUGGCUGUCGUGGUGCCUAAAAAGCAUUGCAUAGCAAGGGCCGGGCAAGACCGGUGCCAGCCGCCGCGGUAACACCGGCGGCUCGAGUGGUAACCGUUAUUAUUGGGUCUAAAGGGUCUGUAGCCGGCCGGAUAAGUCUUUUGGGAAAUCCGGCAGCUCAACUGUCGGGCUUUCAGGAGAUACUGUCUGGCUCGAGGCCGGGAGAGGUGAGAGGUACUUCAGGGGUAGGGGUGAAAUCUUGUAAUCCUUGAAGGACCACCAGUGGCGAAGGCGUCUCACCAGAACGGACCUGACGGCAAGGGACGAAAGCUAGGGGCACGAACCGGAUUAGAUACCCGGGUAGUCCUAGCCGUAAACGAUACUCGCUAGGUGUCGGCCACGGUGCGACCGUGGUCGGUGCCGUAGGGAAGCCGUGAAGCGAGCCACCUGGGUAGUACGGCCGCAAGGCUGAAACUUAAAGGAAUUGGCGGGGGAGCACAAGGGCGAAUCGCG